RNA transcript from Hevea brasiliensis (rubber tree), 2781 nucleotides. RefSeq lists it as uncharacterized. The transcript has 8 exons. The record is from RefSeq and is a predicted model, not a curated record. Lineage: Eukaryota; Viridiplantae; Streptophyta; Magnoliopsida; Malpighiales; Euphorbiaceae.
UUGUUAAUUAAGUCUAUAAGAUUACCAUCAGAAGCAUACUCCAGUAAUAAGUUAUAAAUUAUCAUAACAUUUUCAUGACUCAAACAGUCCCUGUAGCAUUCAAUAACUCUUUCAGAUCUAAAAAGACUAAGCAAAGUUCUCAAUUCUUUUUGCAGGGAGAGAGAAUUUACUAUGAGGGCAGACUUCACAGCAGGUAGUGGCAAAAUAAUGUUGGCUGGUAUGGCCAAAUAGACAAAGCUGUAUGAUCCCUUACUAUGAGGGCAGACUUCACAGCAGGUAGUGGCAAAAUAAUGUUGGCUGGUAUGGCCAAAAAGACAAAGCUGUAUGAUCCCUUCCCUAAACACUUCCAGCGAACCUAGUCCAUAAUGACCGAUACAUUGGAUGAGUGAGAAUAGCAGAGUGGAAUAGGUCAAUAAAGUAUAUAUAAGUAGUAUUUAUCAUCCUUUUCCUAUCAGGAUUAAGUACAUAUAAUCCUUUUCCUUUUGGGAUUUACUUAAAAAUUCACAGAGGCGUUUUUCUAAACUGCCCUUUGAGAGUUGGUGUUUGAUUGAACAUCGUUCUUUUUUUGCGUUUCAUAAAUUCGCUGCUAACUGAGGCAAUUACAAGCGCAUAACUAUUCAAUGCCAAUCGUUUGGGGUUAGGGUUUGCAAAUCUAUUUCAUGAAUUUCAAAAACUCCCAAUUUUAUCCAAAAUUUCCAAAGGAAAUGGCGCUGAGGAAGUUCUACGGCGAGAUAAAGGGGUUGACAGUGAAGGAAGUGCCCAACUAGGUAAAGCCGAUGCUAUCAAUCGAUUACGUGAAGAAAUAGGUGCAGAAAGCUUUGGACAAUUACCACGCCAAUUACAUCAAGACCAGCUCCAUUGAUCCUCUCUACCAUGAUGGCGGCAUGAUCUUUUCCAACCUUGUUGCUCUUCUGGAGGAGCACCGCCACUUCGAGCACCAGCAACACUAAGGAGCAUGGCCACUGAUUCGUUGACUCAUCAAUUCAUCAUUUGUCAGUAACUUCCUGUGAGUUGAUUUUACUAACGUUGAUUUUCUUGAUGUUCUAUUUUGUGUCUCUGGAUAUGGUCGGCAGGAAGAUACUAUUGAUAGUUUUCUCUUUUACACUCUGCAUCUCAUUGCUUCAAGAAAUUUGAAUCAUAUACAGCAGAACAAAAUGAUUGUAGGUCAUUCUCUGGUGUCUUUGAUCCACAGUGAGUUUUAUUAGAGAUAUCUUUUGCCUGCCAUUGUAUGAUGUCUUUGGUCUUACAAUUUACAAUAUCUCUUCUACAUGUAGCUUGGAGCUUGGGUGCAUCAGGUGUUAGAACAGCAGAUGCCCUCAUCUGAUAUUCCAUCCAAAAUUCUUUGUCAAGUGAUCAAAAUUGAUCUUCAGCAAAGAGAGUUUACUGGCAGCAAUCCUGAACUCCUGAACCCUGCAGAAAGAUGCACAGUGAAUUCAUUUUAGAAAGCACUUACUCCUUCGGAUGUAAGCAAGCAUUGUACUUUAAAUAUUUAUCAAAAGCAUGCAUAGGAAUGUCAACCAGCAUUGGAUAUGCAGCGACAGACACCUUGUCAACAAUUGAUUCCAAAAGAUCUGCAUGGCAAUGAGUGGCAUUUCCAACAUGUUAAUCAGACUUGGAGCUUUGGCGCAUCAGGAGUUAGAACAGCACAUGCCCUCAUCAGAUAUCCCAUCCAAAAUUCUUUGUAAAGUGAUCAAAAUUGAUCUUCAGCAAAGAGAGGUUUCUGGCUCCAAUCCCGAACUCCUGAAACCUGCAGAAAGAUGCACGGUGAAUUCAUUUUAGAAAACACUUACUGCUUCUGAUUUAAGCAAGCAUGGUACUUCAAAUAUUUAUCAAAAGCAUGCAUAGGAAUGUCUACCAGCAUUGGAUAUGCAGCAACAGCCACCUUGUCAACAAUUUAUUGCAAAAGAUCUGCAUGGCAACGAGUGGCAUUUCCAACAUGUUAAUCAGACAUUUGCAUAAGAAGUUUCAGCUGCAUUGGCUUUGCCCUUCAUGAUCUUCAUUACCUCCUGUUGAACAAGAUUAGGCAAACUAGCAGCCGAUUCAUCAUACUUGCUUGGAGCCUCAACCUCCAAAGGAGUAUCAGCAUCAUGAGAAACAACAUUAGCCUGCAACGUUCCUUUCUUCUGUUUGAAAUCUUUAUACCAUUCUGGAUAGCCAAAGAGCUUGAAACAAGAUUCUCUAACAUGGCCCCCAACAUUACAAAAGCAAAGAGAGGUUACUGCUACCAAUCCUGAACUCCUGAAACCUGCAGAAAGAUGCACGGUGAAUUCAUUUUAGAAAACACUUACUGCUUCGGAUGGAAGAAAGCAUGGUACUUUAAAUAUUUAUCAAAAGCAUGCAUAGGAAUGUCUACCAGCGCUGGUCAAUAUCUAAAAUAAGUUGAUGUUUGCAUCCCUGCUGUAUAUUGCGUGUGAUUACUUCUCUGUGGUUGAUGGUUAUGAUUUUCCUCUUUGUUCAGGGUAUGCAACGACAGGCGCUUUGUCAACAAUUGAUUGCAAAAGAUCUGCAUGGCGGAGAGUGGCAUUUCCAACAUCUUAAUCAGAGCAAGCAAUAUAACACAUUGCUAUUUCAUGAUGCGAUGCUGAAUAAUUGUCUAGGGAUGGCAAUUAAUUAACUACAUUAGCUGAAAUAUGCUUUAUAUUAUUUUGUUCUGCUGCAUAUGAUUGUUAAUUGGGAAUUUAUGGAAUUGGUGACAUUUUUGUUUUUUUGUUAUAUCUAUGCAUUUGUCGGACGAGUGAAAACAGUACAGUAUAUAAAAUCCUUGGAUAAAUUAGUACAGUA